Molecule: ribosomal RNA, 164 nt
Filed under: Solanum marginatum
Lineage: Eukaryota; Viridiplantae; Streptophyta; Magnoliopsida; Solanales; Solanaceae
Also listed under: 1 other name
Description: 5.8S ribosomal RNA
Rfam family: 5.8S ribosomal RNA
About the family: 5.8S ribosomal RNA (5.8S rRNA) is a component of the large subunit of the eukaryotic ribosome. It is transcribed by RNA polymerase I as part of the 45S precursor that also contains 18S and 28S rRNA. Functionally, it is thought that 5.8S rRNA may be involved in ribosome translocation.
Source: RNAcentral
AAAACGACUCUCGGCAACGGAUAUCUCGGCUCUCGCAUCGAUGAAGAACGUAGCGAAAUGCGAUACUUGGUGUGAAUUGCAGAAUCCCGUGAACCAUCGAGUUCUUGAACGCAAGUUGCGCCCGAAGCCGUCAGGCCGAGGGCACGUCUGCCUGGGCGUCACGC